CAGAGUCCUAUGAUGAGAGCGUGCACUAUCUCAGGUGACCCCUGGUGUUCUUCUAAAUACAGAGUGUAAGCCGUGGGCUCUGGGUGUGAAGGCCUCUCUCAGGCUCCCCGCCAGUGACAGCCACCUACCUGCUCCGGACGGACUUGGGAGUUGACCAGAAGGUGACUGAGCCUCUCCUUGUGUCGGCACUUUCUGCAUCUACCUCACAAGAUUGUUGUAGGAGCAACAUGGAGUAAAGGAGCCUGGAGUGCUUAGCUCCCAGGCCCUAAGAUGGGCCAGCACGCAGCCUCAAGACAGCCACUGCUGCAGUUCAUGGGGCGCUGGCCAGAGAAGAGUCCAACAGGCCUAGAUCUCUGUGAAGCCAUUUCAACAUGAAGGGAAAGCAUUGGGUUGCAUGAAAAUGCUGAUCUCUGCACCUAAGGUCUCCAGGAGCCUGGUGACUGCUUAUCUCCUAGCUCUUCUCUGACUAGCUCUAAUCAUCACACGCCCCACUGCUUCCUGCUCCCAACUCCACUGCAUCCUAUCCUCUCCCUCUUCAAAUUCUCCCCUCCCCAGGCAGCCAAGAAUCCUGUCCCCCGAGUGCCUGACAGCCAUCCUUUCCAUUUGCAGGUUUUGACUUCCCCUGUACAGCGCCUUGUCCAGAUUGACAUUGCUGAUAAUUUCCUCUUGAAAGGUCUUGGGUCAGCACCACAGGCCUGCCCACACAGCUGGGGCAGGGGUUAACCAGCCCCGGGGGUCCACCGCACGGACCGGUGGGUGCUCCUGAGAGCCGUGCCAGCCGGUAGCCCCCGUCACUCCCCUUUGCACAGGAUAAGUCCAAGGGGUUUGGGGGGACCUGAACACAGGGACCGAAGGGAGGAGGAGGGCUCUGGGAGGGGCUGCUCUCUUUUAUUCUUGCCUCCCUCCUUUUCCAUGACAUAAAUCCUGCUACCUUCAA
Molecule: non-coding RNA, 937 nt
Organism: Microcebus murinus (gray mouse lemur)
Lineage: Eukaryota; Metazoa; Chordata; Mammalia; Primates; Cheirogaleidae
Source: RefSeq, a predicted model, not a curated record